RNAcentral lists this long non-coding RNA (2548 nucleotides) under Triticum aestivum (bread wheat). RNAcentral describes it as "long non-coding RNA (TAES_LNC025387)". Lineage: Eukaryota; Viridiplantae; Streptophyta; Magnoliopsida; Poales; Poaceae. The record is from RNAcentral.
UGUUUUUUUUUGUAGCGCUAGAUGGCGCUCUUCCAACAGUUCCCGCAAAAUGCCCGUGAAGGAAUUUCUCUUUGAUGUUGCAGCCGGUGAACCAUCGGCCCGAUCCACUUCCUCGCUUUAAGCGGUGGAUGUGAUUUUUUUCCCUUCGUCUUGCGUUGAGCCUUAGGUGGAAAAACUUCGUGUUGGCGUUGCCCUCUAUGAUGUUGGCUAUGCGAGCAUAUUGCUUUUUUCUUGCCCUUUCCACCACAACCAGACUAACUACUUGGUGCUUGAGCCCUUCCGGAGGUCGUGAUCCUCCGUCGAUAGAGGAUCAGUUUCCUGCGCGAUGUCGAGCCGAAGAAUGACAAGGAGAGCCACAUGGAGGUGCACCUUAGCCUUGGAGAAAACCUUUCUACUCCAUUUCACGAGUAGCUGCCCAUUUCCUUGAGCUUGUGAAUUAACCUUUGGCACAGCUCUUCAUGAACGUUCUCCUCAUCCCAGGCCUUUUGCACAAUCUCAGUGAAUACCGAAAUACUUGUCCAAAAACUCUCAACUUUGAAACGCCUCGGUCUUUUGGCCCCCUAUUAUCCGCCAGAAGGACCAGACAAUGAUCUAAUAACAAAGAGGAGAUGGCAUGGAGCACAUGGAAGUUGAACUUCAUAUCCCACUCGGCAUUGUAGAAAAGAGUCGAGUUUACAGAGGGUAGGAUUCAGUCUCCCGUUGCUCCAGGUGAAGCGAUGGUUUUGAAGGUGUAUCUCUUUAAGCUCGCAUGUGUCAAGGGCGGGAAGGAAAUGAUUGAGGCUGCUACAAUUUAUGUUUCUUUUGUUCUUGUCUCUAGCCAGGUAGAUUUAGUUGAAGUCGCCUAGAGCCAACCAUUUUACAUCAUUGAUUGGCUUUUGUGUUGUGAGCUCAUUGAAGAAGUCAUUCUUCCUACCCGAGGUGGUAGGCCCGUCAUAAGCAUAAGUGAUUAGUUCAAAACCAUGACCGAGGCAUUGUCCCGCAACAGUAGGAUACUCCCAGGGGUUCCAAUUCACUCUGUGCAUUUUAAAACCGAACCGAAAAACCAUACCGAAAAUAAACCAAACCGAACCGAUUUUUUUGUUUUUAUGGUUUCUGGUUUCGGUAUGUUAUGAACUUUUCAUACCGAUUUGAACUUUGGUUUUUAUGGUAUAUACCGAAAAAACGAAUGGUUAACCGAAUAAACCGAAGUAAAAGAUAAAUUUGUAUUUCUUGAGAUGAACAACCGUACAAGUUGUCAUUUUUCUUGUACAUGAGUCAAAUUCACUACUAAGCACCUACAUUUUUCUUGUAACAUUGUCAUUUUUCUCUUUUUAAAAUGCUAAGCACGUCCAUAACCAUCAACAGAUGAAUCAAUGCAUGCAUAUAUACUUAUAUAUAUAGUCAUAUACUAUUUGUGUAAAAUAGAAUGUGUUUUGAGUCAUAAAUUUGCAAAUUAUUAUUACGUCAUUUUCAAAUUCGCGUCAACUUUGGUUUUUAUGGUAUAUACCGAAACCAUACCGAAAUAAUUUGGUAUAUACCGAAACCGAACCGUAUUUUAAUUUCAUACCGUAUUUACCGAAGUAUUAAUACCGUACAUACCGAAAAACCGUAUAAACCGAAUCAUGUAAACCGAAUAAACCGAACGCACAGGGCUAGUUCCAAUUGCUGGCCUCUAUCAUAUGCCGGUAAGGGCGCCAGUUCUGAUUUUCUUCGGUCUGGUUUUUUAAACUACGCUCUGCGCAAAGCUGCGAAGUUUUUGAUAUAUAUCGUAUGUUGCAGACUUGUUAUACAUCUAAAUAAUGUUAAAUAUUGCCUGAAUACAAACGGAAUGCUACCAUAGUAAAUGCCAAAUGCUGAAUGUCCCUUAUAGUCUUCAGCCACUAGACGAAGAUGACCGUUUCACAAGCAACUUAAUGGUCAACAAGCGGCACGUUGACAGUACUCUGGAAGCCCUACAAAUUUUCUAUUGCACAUUGGGGAUGAGAAACAUCUCCAUGACAUAUUCGGAAAUAAAUUAAAUUUUCUGUGAGUCAAGGACCACAUCUAACACAAAAGCUCCAGCCACCAUCUGCUAUUCUGCUGUCCAUCACCUCUGGCUUCAAGUAGAAAUCUUGAAAACAACUCUGAAGACUCAAAUGUUUUGGAACACAGAGCAAUAUCAGCACCGUAUGAAAUGUUUUGUCAUUUCUUCAAUACAGCAUCAUGCAGGAGCUUAUUCAGAAUUAGCACUGUCAAAAUGUGGUGCUCUUAUUAAGAUAUCAGACUAACAACGACACCACAUUCUCAUAUAUGGGAGGGAGGGGCCUCCCAGCAUGCCAGCCAAGUGAAGUAUUAUGCCAUUACAAACAAGAUGUUUUAUGCUUCUGCUGCAGCGCUCUCCAAUGUACAUGCACCUGAAAAACCCGGGCUCAAGACUAUAGGUACAGAAAGAAAGAAAGAAAACAGCAGAGAGCAGAGGAAGGACAAGUCAAGGAAACAAAAGGCAAGGAAACAAAAGGCACACCACUACAAUACCACUACCACAACGACAUCAGCAUCAAUCUAGAAUCUACACUGCCGAUCACCCGAA